GAUGAACGCUGACAGAAUGCUUAACACAUGCAAGUCGAUGGGGAAGUGGUGCUUGCACCAUGGCAACCAUGGCGGACGGGUGAGUAACGCGUAAGGGACUUACCUGCAGGACUGGGAUAACAGGGGGAAACUCCUGACAAGACCGGAUAAUGUCAUGGAGCUGCAUGGCUUUAUGAUGAAAGGAGACGCCUGCGGAGAGCCUUGGGUCCUAUUAGCUAGUUGGUGAGGUAAUGGCUCACCAAGGCGAAGAUAGGUAGCCGGCCUGAGAGGGAGGACGGCCACAAGGGGACAGAGAUACGGCCCUUACUCCUGCGGGAGGCAGCAGGGGGGAAUAGUGGACAAUGGGGGCAACCCUGAUCCAGCAAUUCUGUGUGGAAGAAGAAGGUUUUCGGAGUGUAAAGUGCUUUCAGCAGAGAAGAAGUAAGUGACGGUACCUGCAGAAGAAGCGACGGCUAAAUACGUG
Molecule: ribosomal RNA, 463 nt
Filed under: uncultured bacterium
Lineage: Bacteria
Description: partial 16S ribosomal RNA
Rfam family: Bacterial small subunit ribosomal RNA
Source: RNAcentral